Molecule: ribosomal RNA, 255 nt
Filed under: uncultured bacterium
Lineage: Bacteria
Description: partial 16S ribosomal RNA
Rfam family: Bacterial small subunit ribosomal RNA
Source: RNAcentral
CGUAGGGCGCAAGCGUUAUCCGGAAUUAUUGGGCGUAAAGAGCUCGUAGGCGGUUUGUCGCGUCUGCCGUGAAAAGUCCCGGGGCUUAACUCCGGAUCUGCGGUGGGUACGGGCAGACUUGAGUGAUGUAGGGAGACUGGAAUCCUGGUGUAGCGGUGAAAUGCGCAGAUAUCAGGAGGAACACCGAUGGCGAAGGCAGGUCUCUGGGCAUUAACUGACGCUGAGGAGCGAAAGCAUGGGGAGGCGAACAGGAUU